This 70-nucleotide ribosomal RNA is filed under the name Klebsiella pneumoniae. Its description in RNAcentral is "partial 23S ribosomal RNA". The record is from RNAcentral. Lineage: Bacteria; Pseudomonadati; Pseudomonadota; Gammaproteobacteria; Enterobacterales; Enterobacteriaceae.
UGUAAGCGCAGCGAUGCGUUGAGCUAACCGGUACUAAUGAACCGUGCGGCUUAACCUUACAACGCCGAAG